This is an RNA transcript of Pyrus x bretschneideri (Chinese white pear), 1533 nucleotides long. It is a transcript of the gene named protein TRIGALACTOSYLDIACYLGLYCEROL 3, chloroplastic-like, with no coding region annotated. The record is from RefSeq and is a predicted model, not a curated record. The transcript has 10 exons. Lineage: Eukaryota; Viridiplantae; Streptophyta; Magnoliopsida; Rosales; Rosaceae.
UUGUUUGGCCGAUAAUUGAAUAUCGUUCUGCGAACCAGAACCAUGGUUUCUGUGUCGAAUUCAGUGUUGUUUCCUCUGGCGACAUCCAACGGCUUCACAUCCGAUGGUUUUUCUCGGUCCGUUAGAUUUGCAAGGACGAUCAAUUGUAGCAGUGACAAGCAAAAGGGAGAGCAAAGAAACGUUUUGUGUGCUUGUAUGGAGCCUCCCCCCAAACUGCGGAGCGAUGAAUCCUUUGCAGCUAAAUUCGAGGGUCUUUCUGAUCAGGAUUCAUUUAAAUCAGAGGAUUUGAGUACAGUUUGGGAGCCCAAGGAUGACUCUGAUGUUCUAAUCGAGUGUAGAGACGUCUACAAAUCGUUUGGUGAGAAGCAUAUAUUGAGAGGUGUGAGCUUCAAGAUUAGGCAUGGCGAAGCUGUUGGAAUAAUUGGGCCUUCUGGCACGGGAAAAUCUACAGUUCUGAAGAUUAUGGCAGGGCUUCUUGCUCCUGACAAGGGAGAGGUGUACAUUCGAGGUCGAAAGAGAGUUGGUUUGAUCAGCGAUGAUGAGAUAUCUGGUCUUCGGAUUGGAUUGGUGUUUCAGAGCGCUGCACUAUUUGAUUCUUUGACUGUUCGUGAAAAUGUUGGUUUCCUUCUGUAUGAAAAUUCGAGCAUGCCCGAGGAUCAAAUUUCAAAGCUUGUGACUGAGAGCUUGGCCGCAGUCGGGUUAAAGGGAGUUGAGGAUCGAUUACCUUCGGAGCUAUCUGGUGGAAUGAAGAAACGAGUUGCUCUGGCUCGAUCCAUAAUUUAUGAUACCACAAAGGAGGCGAUAGAGCCAGAGGUGCUCUUAUAUGAUGAGCCAACAGCUGGACUUGAUCCUAUUGCUUCUACUGUGGUAGAAGACCUCAUCCGCUCUGUCCAUACAAAAGGUCGCGAUGCAAUCAAGAAACCUGGGCAGAUCGCAUCUUAUGUUGUUGUUACUCACCAACAUAGUACCAUCGGACGAGCUGUUGACAGAGUAUAUACAAAUUCAACAUGUAUAGGCUGUUGUUUCUCUACGAGGGCAAGAUAGUGUGGCAAGGAAUGACUCAUGAAUUCACAACCUCAACAAAUCCAAUCGUUCAACAGUUUGCUUCCGGGAGCUUGGACGGCCCGAUUAAAUAUUAGAACUCGUUCUCGGUGUGCAUAUUACACGUCGCGUAGCCCUUGAGGAGAAUGCUGGGAAAUGGAUCAGAUGGGUGCUCUGCCUCCUUUCUUAUACUUCUUUGCAGUGGAUUGGAGCUCCUGCCAACAAUUCUCAGUGGCCAACAAAAAUCACAUGCCAACGAAUCUUUAGGCGUGCAUCUGAGUUAAGAGAGCCAACUUCUGAAUUGGGCAUGGCAAAAAGAUGUCGCGAUUGGGCGGGGAUGUUUUGCUCGUUCUUAUUUACGACGAAUAACUUUCUUACUCUGUUAGUUUCGAAUUUUUGAGUUCCGGCACCUGUUUUCGGCCACAUUGUUAGAGAAAAUGUAUUCAAAACUGAGGAAUAUAUAGUUGAUGUUAUGGCAUAUUAUUAUGAGCA